RNAcentral lists this ribosomal RNA (629 nucleotides) under uncultured eukaryote. Its description in RNAcentral is "SSU rRNA". It matches the Rfam family "Eukaryotic small subunit ribosomal RNA", at positions 610 to 1257 of the family's 1831-position model. The record is from RNAcentral.
UUGUUGCAGUUAAAAAGCUCGUAGUUGGACUUUAGGCAAGGCGGCCUGGUCACCCUCUGGGUGUACUGGGAUCGCUGCGCCUCACCUUCGGGGAGCUAGUCGUGCUUCGGUGCGCUAGGGAACCGAGCCUUACCUUGAGGAAAUUAGAGUGUUUAAAGCAGGCUUAUGCUUGAAUACGUUAGCAUGGAAUAACAUGAUAGGACUUUGGUUCUAUUUUGUUGGUUUGAGGUCCAAAGUAAUGAUUAAUAGGGACAGUUGGGGGCAUUAGUAUUCAAUAGUCAGAGGUGAAAUUCUUGGAUUUAUUGAAGACUAACUAAUGCGAAAGCAUUUGCCAAGGAUGUUUUCACUAAUCAAGAACGAAAGUUAGGGGAUCGAAGACGAUUAGAUACCGUCGUAGUCUUAACCAUAAACUAUGCCGACUAGGGAUCGGUGGAAGUCGAUUUUGACUCCAUCGGCACCUUACGAGAAAUCAAAGUUUUUGGGUUCUGGGGGGAGUAUGGUCGCAAGGCUGAAACUUAAAGGAAUUGACGGAAGGGCACCACCAGGAGUGGAGCCUGCGGCUUAAUUUGACUCAACACGGGAAAACUCACCAGGUCCGGACAUGGGAAGGAUUGACAGAUUGAGAGCUC